Molecule: ribosomal RNA, 490 nt
Filed under: uncultured bacterium
Lineage: Bacteria
Description: partial 16S ribosomal RNA
Rfam family: Bacterial small subunit ribosomal RNA
Source: RNAcentral
AUUGAACGCUGGCGGCAUGCCUUACACAUGUAAGUCGAACGGCAGCAUGAUCUAGCUUGCUAGAUUGAUGGCGAGUGGCGAACGGGUGAGUAAUACAUCGGAACGUGCCCUGUAGUGGGGGAUAACUAGUCGAAAGAUUAGCUAAUACCGCAUACGACCUGAGGGUGAAAGUGGGGGACCGCAAGGCCUCAUGCUAUAGGAGCGGCCGAUGUCUGAUUAGCUAGUUGGUGAGGUAAAGGCUCACCAAGGCGACGAUCAGUAGCUGGUCUGAGAGGACGAUCAGCCACACUGGGACUGAGACACGGCCCAGACUCCUACGGGAGGCAGCAGUGGGGAAUUUUGGACAAUGGGCGAAAGCCUGAUCCAGCAAUGCCGCGUGUGUGAAGAAGGCCUUCGGGUUGUAAAGCACUUUUGUCCGGAAAGAAAUGGCUCUGGUUAAUACCUGGGGUCGAUGACGGUACCGGAAGAAUAAGGACCGGCUAACUACGUG